Molecule: ribosomal RNA, 800 nt
Filed under: uncultured bacterium
Lineage: Bacteria
Description: bacterial SSU rRNA
Rfam family: Bacterial small subunit ribosomal RNA
Source: RNAcentral
AGCCGAAAGGCUCUCUAAUACCGCAUGAGACCACAGCAUCACAUGGUGCAGGGGUCAAAGGAGCAAUCCGGAUGAGGGUGGGCUCGCGUCUGAUUAGCUAGUUGGUGGGGUAAGGGCUCACCAAGGCAACGAUCAGUAGCCGACCUGAGAGGGUGAUCGGCCACAUUGGAACUGAGACACGGUCCAAACUCCUACGGGAGGCAGCAGUGGGGAAUAUUGGGCAAUGGGCGAAAGCCUGACCCAGCAACGCCGCGUGAAGGAAGAAGGCUUUCGGGUCGUAAACUUCUAUCCCGGGUGAAGAUAAUGACGGUAGCCCGGAAGGAAGCCCCGGCUAACUACGUGCCAGCAGCCGCGGUAAUACGUAGGGGGCAAGCGUUGUCCGGAAUGAUUGGGCGUAAAGGGCGCGUAGGCGGCCUUUUAAGUCCGGUGUGAAAGUCCUGCUUUUAAGGUGGGAAUUGCAUUGGAAACUGGAAGGCUUGAGUGCAGGAGAGGUAAGUGGAAUUCCCGGUGUAGCGGUGAAAUGCGUAGAGAUCGGGAGGAACACCAGUGGCGAAGGCGACUUACUGGACUGUAACUGACGCUGAGGCGCGAAAGUGUGGGGAGCAAACAGGAUUAGAUACCCUGGUAGUCCACACUGUAACGAUGGGUGCUAGGUGUAGGAGGUAUCGACCCCUUCUGUGCCGGAGUCAACACAAUAAGCACUCCGCCUGGGGAGUACGGCCGCAAGGUUGAAACUCAAAGGAAUUGACGGGGGCCCGCACAAGCAGCGGAGCAUGUUGUUUAAUUCGAAGCAACGCGAA